RNAcentral lists this transfer RNA (116 nucleotides) under Actinomycetota bacterium. RNAcentral describes it as "tRNA-Ala". Lineage: Bacteria; Bacillati; Actinomycetota. The record is from RNAcentral.
GGGUACGGAGUGGUACUACACGGGACAACGUUCCCGCUGCUCAGCCCUCUGACCUGCAGGUCCGUCUCGCCCUUGCAAGGCGAAGGACGGGGGUUCGAGUCCCUCAGCGCCCACCA